UCCGACUUGGCAGAAAAUAUGCAAUAAAUUUAGAAUUUAUCUAUGAUUUUUUAAUCAGUUGGGAC
RNAcentral lists this transfer RNA (65 nucleotides) under Dermacentor albipictus. RNAcentral describes it as "tRNA-Leu". Lineage: Eukaryota; Metazoa; Arthropoda; Arachnida; Ixodida; Ixodidae. The record is from RNAcentral.